GUUGGCGGCGGUUGGAACGAAACGAUGAGUGCCUCCUCGUGGCCCCAGAAUGUAAUGCCGCCGUCGGUAGGGGUCUGCCGGGCAUAAAGGGGCCUUCGGAACCCCACCAGAGUCACAGCCAGGAAGGGCAGCGGGGCGCACCAGGCCGAAGGCUCACGCCACAGGGAGGGCAGCUAGGACAUGGGGGGAAGCGCGUUAAACCAGGGAGUCCUGGAAGGGGACGACGCCCCCGGCCAGUCCCUGUACGAGCGGUUAAGUCAGAGGAUGCUGGACAUCUCGGGGGACCGGGGCGUGCUGAAGGACGUCAUCCGAGAAGGAGCUGGAGACCUAGUGGCGCCUGAUGCUUCGGUGCUAGUGAAAUACUAUGGAUACCUGGAACACUUGGACAGACCCUUCGAUUCUAAUUACUUUAGGAAAACUCCUCGGCUAAUGAAACUUGGAGAGGAUAUUACAUUGUGGGGCAUGGAGCUGGGCCUUCUGAGCAUGCAGAGAGGAGAGCUGGCCAGAUGCUUCGUCUUGGGUAAACUCCUCGACUCCCAAGGCCCCAGCCUCCAUCUUUACCUCAGAGCCUCCUGAACCUCCUCCUCCAGCCUCACCUUCCUCCAGCCUCACCACUCCUCCCUGGACCUGCAGCUCCGCACCCCCGGGGGCCUCAGAACUACCCCUUCCAGGGCCUCAGAACUACCCCUACGGUUUCUCCUGCGUAACCUUCUGCCUACCUUCCUGAGAGUGGUUGGUGACAGCAGCCGGGGCUAGAAACCUCGAGGCGACUGUGCUUGAGUCCUCUCUUGCUCUUUACAUCCCAAAUCCCAUCAAUUGUCACGCCUUGUGCCUUCCGCCUCUCAAAUAUUCAGAAAGCAGAUGUAUGCUGGGCACGGUGGUGACUCAAGCCUAUAAUCCCAGCACUUCGGAAGGCGGAGGCAGGAGGAUCGCUUGAGGCCAGGAAUUUUAGACCAGCCGGGGCAACAUAGUGAAACCCCAUCUCUACAAAAUAAAAAUAAAAAUUAGCUGGG
RNA transcript from Homo sapiens (human), 1013 nucleotides. It is a transcript of the gene named FKBP6 pseudogene 2, with no coding region annotated. The transcript is spliced from 5 exons. Lineage: Eukaryota; Metazoa; Chordata; Mammalia; Primates; Hominidae. The record is from RefSeq and is marked validated.